This is a non-coding RNA of Schistocerca gregaria, 73 nucleotides long. The record is from the annotation of a RefSeq genome assembly. NCBI's taxonomy places the organism in Eukaryota, Metazoa, Arthropoda, Insecta, Orthoptera, Acrididae.
GUCCGGAUGGCGCAGUGGUCAGCGCAUGUGUCUAAUAAGCACGACACCUGGGUUCGAAUCUCAGUCCGGCACA